GUCCAGCUUUCCAUUUCAUAUAUAUUUUUAAUUUUCAUAUAUAUUUUGAAUUACUUUCUCAAAGUUUGUGGUGUGUCUGCAGCUUUCCAGGGAAGACCAUGAAAGAGCUUUGUGAUUUACCUCUGUACCAACAUGCUGUGGUGACCUGUAUGUACCGUCUGGAGAGGAACAGGGCCAUGUUGACAUCUACACUUCUACCAUGAACCAGAUACUACUUUGCUUUUCUUUUUUUACAUUUUUUUUUGUUAGUCUUUCUGCUAUGUUACAUGCUCUCACAGUUAGAUAUUGACUCGGCAAAAAAAAAAAAAAGAUCUUUUUUAAUUGGAUGCUCAGCUGCUAGUAUCAGCACAAUGGAUGGACUAAUUGGAAAUUGGAUUGCUAAAGUGAAUCAUGACUAUUUACCAGCUUUUAAACUCCAUCCAGGAUCACAGGACAGAGGGUAAGUCCCACUUGCUCUUCUGUUAGGCAGAACACGUGGCUACACGAUUUUCCAGCUCUGCCCUUCACAGAUGGAGAUCGUUACAGAUGAAAUGUAUUCUUUAUGUUGUUUUGCUCACUACUCCCAUGCAGAGAUGGACUGGGGUGGAGAAUGCCUCAUACAACGUAGCCCUGAAAUCAUAACCCUCAGAAGAAAUGUUGCAGUAUGAAUGUGUUGCCUGGCUUUAUACCCAAGCUCCCUUCUUAGCUUUUGAAAUCAUAUACAGCAUUGUUGCAAUCCAGCAGUUCUGUCAUGGCAUCUUGAUUUAAGUUCAGGCCACCUCAGGAUGGGAAGAGGAUGUCAGUUUAGGUCCCUAGCUACCUUCAGAUGGUGCUCUCAGCUCAGGCAGGAUGGACUCUUUCUUCCACCAGUGUUUGGAAGAUCCUUGGGGCUAUCAAAGGGAGCUGAGACAUGACAGCAAGAUGCCCCUUGCCUGUCCUCCUGGGGCGCAACGUGUCUCUAAACCAGUCCAAGUUUCCAGCUUGAGCUGUGGGUUUUACACAGCUCUUUAGUUGUGACAACUGGUCUGUGGGAUGCCUCCCUCUAUGCUGUGGCCAUUUUCUUUGGAGGAAACAGUGAGCUGCUCUUGAGGCUGGGAACACCGCCCCAGCAGGCAAGAACCUCCUUUUCCUUCAUUUUCUGGAAGUUCUUACCAGAGAACAUGACUUCAGGGCGAAGUACAGGAAAUCUGCCUCCCCAGCUUUAUCCUCACAACGUCCUUUAGUGGCUUAGACCAGAGAUCCAGACAACACAGCAGUGGCCGCAGGAGGCUGUGCAGGAUGAGGGAGGAAGGAGGAGGAUUUAUGGGGAAAGAGCAUCCCAUCGGCAUCAAGACAGCCAAAAACCAUCACCAUCAAUAACAGCCUGUGGGGAGUGGAUGUCCCAGGAGUGGCAUCCAGCUCCAGUGGCAGCUGAUUUUGGGCCACCCUGAUUUACCACAUCAGGCUUUAGUCUGUGACCAGAGUACCAAAGAGCAGAAAGUUUAGAAGAAAUUGGAGUACUGUUUGCUGCUGAUGAGAGCUAAGUGGAAAAAUAUAACCAAGAUGAUAAGCAAAAUCCCUUUAUCUGCCAGUUACAAACCUCCAAGCAGAAAAGCUGAAGAACUACACAGAAAAAAGUCUCUGCAAGGUAGCAAAGACUUGUAAAAAAAAAAAAAAAAGAAAAGAAAAAAUGGGAGUUGGCAGGAUGAUUUUGAGCACUGCCUUCUGUCCCAUUAAUCAACAUCAGAUGAUGUAUGUAUAAAAGAACAGUGCUGAAUGAAACAAGACCAGUUUGAUCCCAAAAAGUGGAGUAUAAAGCUGACAGGAAAAAUGGAAUAAUAUUUCAUAAGGAAGGUGGCUGAAACAUUCUGGGUGGAUUUUGCUAGAUUUAGUGAAAGUGAAAUGAAGUUAAAAAAAUUUUCAAGCAGUGUCAACAAGACCUCAUGCUCACAUUUUUUAUUAAACUUUAUGAUUUUUAGUUUCUAUUUUAACAAUGUUUACAUUAUGUGGUCUAACUCAAAUCAUAUGUUACAUGUUACUUAAAAGACACACACACACACCAAAAACAUACACACACACAAAAAAAAAGAUUAGUUGACUUGGGACAUCCCAAUAUUUUGGCAUUUUAAUUUCUGGAGAAGUGUUGGGGUUUUCUGCUCCCAAAAAUUCAUUUGUAAAGAAGGGAGGAGGAAUUUGUCCUUCCCUCCGUUUGGCACGCAACACACAAGUGCCUUUCUGUAAACAGCAGACUCAUUUGAGCAAUAAGCAACCCACACAACAGGCUGGCUUCUGGCUUUUGCUAACUGGAGUCUAGAGGGCUAAGUGCAACAAAAACUUGAGUUGCCCACAGAAUAGCUACUCUGAUUCAGCUGAAACCUGAAGCAGAUUUUGGUCCUUCUUAGAAAAUGCUUGUACUUUUUUUGUUGGUUGUUGUUGUUUCUAACAAAGACAGAACUGAACCAGUCUCCCAAGCUGAGAUGCUCAGAGAUGUCCAAAAUGAGAUGUGACUGGCAAGAAUACAAUACACAGAUUAAUAAGGAAGUCAUUAAAAGACAGAGAAGCCCUGAAGGGAUGGAGUGGCUUUUAGUUUGAGGAAGAAUAGGUACCUAAGCUCUCGUUUUGCAUUAAAUUUUACCCUUCCUUUCUGCAGUAAGCCAUAAGUCAACUGUUUGCUGUGACUUCAUCAGAAAACAAUCCCUCUCUUUUCUUUCUUGCUCAUAGGCAUCUUGGGCUCAAUAGAAAGCUUUCUGACUUGGAUCCAACUGUUUGCUCAGUUUAGAGGAAGUUUCUGAUGCUAUUCAGUAUUUCACAAUGGCACCAAAAGGAAAUUUAUCAGCACAGGGACUCUACUUAAUUAACAAGCUGCCAGAAACACCCCUGAAACAGGAGAGGAGAAAGGCUAUUGCAAGGCACAGCUGGGAUGUCAGUAGGGGUGGUGAAGAAAGAUUACACCAGGGAAGGAGGUGUCCUGCAACAUGGAAGUAAGAAAAAUGGAAAGGAAUGACCACGUAUCUGAAGAAUAAAAUAAAAAGGCAACAACGAAAACA
This 3005-nucleotide long non-coding RNA is filed under the name Anas platyrhynchos platyrhynchos (common mallard). RNAcentral's name for it is "lncRNA (ENSAPLG00000019438.1)". Lineage: Eukaryota; Metazoa; Chordata; Aves; Anseriformes; Anatidae. The record is from RNAcentral.